AGGAGGAACAACCCCAGUGGCAGCGGCCAGCUCUGGAGCCCUGGAGUCAGCUCCCGCAGUAGCUACAGAGCUCUCGGUCUGCAGGGCCUGGAGGCUCCGGGGCGGG
This 106-nucleotide microRNA precursor is filed under the name Canis lupus familiaris (dog). RNAcentral's name for it is "mir-8834 microRNA precursor family". It matches the Rfam family "mir-8834 microRNA precursor family". Lineage: Eukaryota; Metazoa; Chordata; Mammalia; Carnivora; Canidae. RNAcentral also lists the same sequence under 1 other name. The record is from Rfam by way of RNAcentral.